This 133-nucleotide ribosomal RNA is filed under the name uncultured bacterium. RNAcentral's name for it is "partial 16S ribosomal RNA". The record is from RNAcentral.
GGAGUUAGCCGAUGCUGAUUCCUCAGGUACCGUCAGAGCUUCUUCCCUGAGAAAAGGGGUUUACAAUCCACAGACCUUCCUCCCCCACGCGGUAUUGCUCCGUCAGGCUUGCGCCCAUUGCGGAAAAUUCCCC